AGCGAACGCUGGCGGCAGGCUUAACACAUGCAAGUCGAGCGGGCGUAGCAAUACGUCAGCGGCAGACGGGUGAGUAACGCGUGGGAACGUACCUUUUGGUUCGGAACAACUGAGGGAAACUUCAGCUAAUACCGGAUAAGCCCUAACGGGGAAAGAUUUAUCGCCGAAAGAUCGGCCCGCGUCUGAUUAGCUAGUUGGUGAGGUAACGGCUCACCAAGGCGACGAUCAGUAGCUGGUCUGAGAGGAUGAUCAGCCACACUGGGACUGAGACACGGCCCAGACUCCUACGGGAGGCAGCAGUGGGGAAUAUUGGACAAUGGGGGCAACCCUGAUCCAGCCAUGCCGCGUGAGUGAUGAAGGCCCUAGGGUUGUAAAGCUCUUUUGUGCGGGAAGAUAAUGACGGUACCGCAAGAAUAAGCCCCGGCUAACUUCGUGCCAGCAGCCGCGGUAAUACGAAGGGGGCUAGCGUUGCUCGGAAUCACUGGGCGUAAAGGGUGCGUAGGCGGGUCUUUAAGUCAGAGGUGAAAUCCUGGAGCUCAACUCCAGAACUGCCUUUGAUACUGAGGAUCCUGAGUCCGGAAGAGGUGAGUGGAACUGCGAGUGUAGAGGUGAAAUUCGUAGAUAUUCGCAAGAACACCAGUGGCGAAAGCGGCUCACUGGUCCGGUACUGACGCUGAGGCACGAAAGCGUGGGGGAGCAACAGGAUUAGAUACCCUGGUAGUCCACGCUGUAAACGAU
Molecule: ribosomal RNA, 738 nt
Filed under: uncultured bacterium
Lineage: Bacteria
Description: bacterial SSU rRNA
Rfam family: Bacterial small subunit ribosomal RNA
Source: RNAcentral